GCCUCCCCCAGGUGCCCACGGCUGGAGCAGGUCCGGCGGGAGGGAAGAGGCGGCCCCGCGGAUUGCGAAUCCUGCCAGGCAGGGGGUGGCGGGAGAGAGAGGGCGAGGUGGCGCGGAGCUCGCCGGAGAACGCGGUGCCCAGGGCUGUCCCGGGAGCCCCUGCCUCAUUUUGUCUGACUUCUAGGAACCUCUACGGCUUUUCGCAUCUGGAGGUGCGGCCCCUAAUCGGCGGGGUCCCCCCGCUACACCUUCCCCACCCCGGCAUUCCUAGCCCGCGCCUAGGGGCGAAGUGCGGGCACGGCGAGGGCCCGCGAGGAAAUCUGCUCUUUCUCCGGCAGCCGCCGCUGCCUCUUUGAUGUUUUGGUACGCCGUGCGCAUGCGCCUCACAUUAGAAUUACUGCACUGGGCAGACUAAGUUGGAUCUCCUCUCUUCAGUGAAACCCUCAAUCCCGUCAAAAACUAAAGGGAUGUGGAGAGUCCGGAAAAGGGGCUACUUUGGGAUUUGGUCAUUCCCCUUAAUAAUCGCCGUCGUCUGUGCGCAGAGGUAAGUGUGUCCAGCGUUUCUCUUUUCCCUUUUUCACUUUGAAGGGCUCUGUCUGCAUACCUCUGUGAUC
Molecule: long non-coding RNA, 614 nt
Filed under: Dasypus novemcinctus (nine-banded armadillo)
Lineage: Eukaryota; Metazoa; Chordata; Mammalia; Cingulata; Dasypodidae
Description: lncRNA (ENSDNOG00000050267.1)
Source: RNAcentral